Molecule: unclassified non-coding RNA, 910 nt
Filed under: Bombus terrestris (buff-tailed bumblebee)
Lineage: Eukaryota; Metazoa; Arthropoda; Insecta; Hymenoptera; Apidae
Description: misc RNA ENSBTSG00005026553.1
Source: RNAcentral
UCAAAUUUUUGAGAAUCGGAGAAGUGAUUUUACAAAUAAAUUCCAUUCGCGAACACAACAGAAUUCUCCGUAAAUUCUCUCCUAGAAUUCCAACCAGACUCUAAAUCUUUCCUUUAUUUCUCCUACAAAGCAUCAAGCAACACUGACACAUCACUAAGAGAACAUACGUUUUGCACUCUCGCUGGAGGUAGUAGCUUCCUACAUUUCAUCUCACUAUACAGGGUGUCCAGUGAUCGCGGUACAACCGACAUCGCCCCUAUUCUCUCGAUUGUACCACGAUUACUGGUACACCCUGUAUAAUGCACACAUCUUCCAAGCAUCCUUCAAUUCAUACGAAAGCCAGACACACGAGACUUUCGAACGUCCUCGAACAGGAAACAGGAAAAAGGAAAGUAAAGAAGGAACACGAUUCUCGGUUGGAAACGCGCAUCGAAUACGUUCGUCCUUAAUCAGGCCACGAAAUGAAAGUGGUUUCAGUGAAUGGCCGAUGAAGAAGGAAAAGAGGCGGAGCAUGUUGCAGAAGGAAUGAACGAAUACAAUAAGGAAGAAGAGGUCGUGGAUGCAAGUAAGAUUAACGCGCAAGCAUGGUUUCCUGUCGACAUUUUUCAAAGGCUAGCGGAGCGGAAUAAAAAGCUAAAGAGAACCUGAACAUAUUCAUACGACGUCUAUACAUUUAUACACCUAUUUAGGAACUUUGAAGUGGUGUUUCUGGAAAGAACGUGGUAGUCCGAAUUGCUAAUUGACAAUGGCAGCAGACAAAGCUCUACGGAUUACGUUUUGAUAUCGAGAUUUUUCACGAGGAAGGAAUUAGAGUUAUUAAUUUAUAUUUAUAUUGUUUUAUAUUUGUUUUGUACAAUUUAUAUUUAUACUUGUGCGGACAUCAUCAAACUUCGUGUUAGAAAGUAUUAAG